GGACACAGGAAGGGUUAGCACAUUCCCAGCACUGGCACAUCAGUCAGGAGGCAAGGCCCCCAGGGGAAAAGGACACAUGGAGUGUGUCUGUGUGAGGAACAGAGCUUUGGGUAUCUGCUGUUCCAGAAAUGAGCUCUUAUGAGUUGGAGAAGCACCAAUUGACUCAUCAAGUUUUGACAUUGGCUGCGGAGCUUGAAAUGCCUCCUGUCCAAGAAUUCACCACUCUGUCCUGUGAGCCUCGUGGGGAGCACAGUUAAAGGGCCUACAGUGUUCCCGGGACACACUGUCUGACUGUUUGAACUGGUGAAGAAUGUGUGGAGCCCUUAUUGUAUAUGGAUGGCACGCUGCAUGGCCGUUGGACCGGCCAGGAAAGGAAUUCCACUGGCCUAUAGCUCUGAAGCAGGUGAUUCUCUACAGCUUUCCUGGAAGCCCCCGCUUCUGCUGACUGACCGCAGGUCUGCCUGGGACUCGCGCGGGAGACGUCUGGCUUCCAAACUUUGUGCAAGCGUCUCUGAAAGGCAGAUGCUAACAUCCAAACGUACAGGGAAGAUUUCUAAGGAAGGGUUUCCAGGCUUCUCUACCCUGUGGCACAGAGGAGGAUGGAGCAGGAAGUGGCAUUGAGGCCAACUCAUCAGCUGAGAACCAAGGACAUUGCCUGUAUCCAUUUAAGACCUUUUUUCAGGGGGCGUCUGAGUGGCUUAGUCGGUUUAACGUCUGACCUCGGCUCAGGUCAUUAUCUCGCGGCUCCUGAGUUCGAGCCCUGCGUUGGGCUCUAUGGCUGAUGCCUGGGGCCUGCUUCGAAUUCUGUGUUUCCCUCACUCUGCCCCUCCCCCAUUCGCACUCUCUCUCAAAAGUAAAUAAACAUUAAAAAAAUUUUUUUAAACACA
Long non-coding RNA from Acinonyx jubatus (cheetah), 887 nucleotides. RefSeq lists it as uncharacterized. The record is from RefSeq and is a predicted model, not a curated record. The transcript is spliced from 2 exons. NCBI's taxonomy places the organism in Eukaryota, Metazoa, Chordata, Mammalia, Carnivora, Felidae.